This is a non-coding RNA of Acanthosepion pharaonis, 98 nucleotides long. The record is from the annotation of a GenBank genome assembly. NCBI's taxonomy places the organism in Eukaryota, Metazoa, Mollusca, Cephalopoda, Sepiida, Sepiidae.
UUAAAACACUGGUUCUUGUAUGAUCACCAAAGUUAAGGCUGGUUUAGUCUGGUCAGUAUCUAGAUGGGUGACCACUUGGGAAUAACAGGUGCUGUAAU